Molecule: unclassified non-coding RNA, 267 nt
Filed under: Hevea brasiliensis (rubber tree)
Lineage: Eukaryota; Viridiplantae; Streptophyta; Magnoliopsida; Malpighiales; Euphorbiaceae
Source: RNAcentral
CGGGGUCGCAAAUGCAGAUGCUUCUAAGGAGCUUUUAGGACUAUCUACAUUGUAUGUCUUAUGCAUGCGGAAGUCAUUUCCUGCAUUUUGGGUUUCGUUACACUCAUCUUUUGAGUUCUGAUCAGAUAAGACACUGUCGUUGCCAUGACUCUGAACUUCAAAUAGCUUGUUAGAUCCAGCCUUUAUUAAAAGCUCCAUGAAAGAACUAGAGCUGUUCCAACUAUUAAAUUUAGAUACAUCAAUUAAAUCUUCUGCUUCUGAGUUCCC